GAUGAACGCUGGCGGCGUGCCUAACACAUGCAAGUCGAGCGGCAGCGAGGGGUGCUUGCACCCUGUCGGCGAGCGGCGGACGGCUGAGUAACGCGUGGGAACGUGCCCCAAAGUGAGGAAUAACUGCCCGAAAGGGUAGCUAAUACCGCAUAUUAUCUUCGGAUCAAAGGAUUUAUCCGCUUUGGGAGCGGCUCGCGUCGGAUUAGGUAGUUGGUGAGGUAAUGGCUCACCAAGCCGACGAUCCGUAGCUGGUCUGAGAGGAUGACCAGCCAGACUGGAACUGAGACACGGUCCAGACUCCUACGGGAGGCAGCAGUGAGGAAUCUUCCACAAUGGGCGAAAGCCUGAUGGAGCAACGCCGCGUGCAGGACGAAGGCCUUCGGGUUGUAAACUGCUUUUAUAAGUGAGGAAUAUGACGGUAACUUAUGAAUAAGAAUCGGCUAACUGCGUG
Molecule: ribosomal RNA, 451 nt
Filed under: uncultured bacterium
Lineage: Bacteria
Description: partial 16S ribosomal RNA
Rfam family: Bacterial small subunit ribosomal RNA
Source: RNAcentral